GACGAACUCUGGCGGCGUGCUUAACACAUGCAAGUCGAACGAAGUGGCGAACGGGUGAGUAAUACGUGGGUAACCUGCCCUCCUUUUUGGGAUAAGCCUUGGAAACGGGGUCUAAUACCGAAUCAAGGGUGAUGGGCUCUCUGCCUAUCAGCUUGUUGGUGGGGUGAUGGCCUACCAAGGCGGUGACGGGUAGACGGCCUGAGAGGGUGACCGGCCACAUUUGGACUGAGAUACGGCCCGGACUCCUACGGGAUGCAGCAGUGGGGGAUAGUGCACAAUGGGCGAAAGGCUGAUGCAGCGACGCCGCGUGGGGGAUGAAGGCUUUCGGGUUGUAAACCUCUUUAGCUAUCGAAAGGGGAGGUGGAGAAGAAGAGCCGGCUAACUACGUGCCAGCCGAAGCGGUAAUAG
Molecule: ribosomal RNA, 408 nt
Filed under: uncultured bacterium
Lineage: Bacteria
Description: partial 16S ribosomal RNA
Rfam family: Bacterial small subunit ribosomal RNA
Source: RNAcentral